GAACGCACAUUGCGCCCCUCGGUAUUCCGUGGGGCACGCCUGUUAGAGCGUCAUUUACACCCUCAAGCGCAGCUUGGUGUUGGGCGUCUGUCCCGCUCUCCGUAGCGCGGACUCGCCUCAAAGUCAUUGGCGGCGGUCGUGCCGGCUCCUCGCGCAGCACAUUUGCGCUUCUCGGAGGCCCGGCGGAUCGGCAUCCAGCAAGCUACUUUUUAUGACUUGACCUCGGAUCAGGUGAGGAUACCCGCUGAACUUAAG
RNAcentral lists this unclassified non-coding RNA (255 nucleotides) under uncultured Periconia. RNAcentral's name for it is "sequence contains 5.8S rRNA gene". The stretch from base 1 to 53 matches the Rfam family "5.8S ribosomal RNA", at positions 102 to 154 of the family's 154-position model. The record is from RNAcentral. Lineage: Eukaryota; Fungi; Ascomycota; Sordariomycetes; Microascales; Halosphaeriaceae.